Molecule: long non-coding RNA, 771 nt
Organism: Rosa chinensis
Lineage: Eukaryota; Viridiplantae; Streptophyta; Magnoliopsida; Rosales; Rosaceae
Exons: 3
Source: RefSeq, a predicted model, not a curated record
CCCCCCCCCCCCCUCUCUCUCCCUCUCUCCUUGUAAGUUCCUCUUCUCCUUCAGAUUCAGAGAACUUCUUUGUUUUUAAUUUCAUCAGGUCUUGAUUGGGUUUUCUAAUAUGACUGGGUUUUUGUGUAUGAGCUAUCAACUUCUUCAUCGUCUUCAUCAGAGAGAACAAUACCCAUCAGGGUUGAAGAAUUUCACGAACACAUUGUUCCUCUGUCUCGGAUUUGAUGGCAAGCAAAUUGGGUUUUGCAAAAUUAAAGGAAAAUCUUCCAAUCAAGAUGUGUUGGAUGAGGAAUUUAUAUUCGAUUGAUGAGAAUGUUCAGAGGGAAACCAGAUUGAUGGGUAGUGGAAGCAUAUUCUGUUAGUAUAAAGGGGGAGAUUGUUAGUAUAGGAAUUGUAUGUUGGCAUUCCCCUUAUACAAAACUUGAGUGUUCUAGCUAAAAGUGUGUGAGUGUUUUGAUCUAAGCAUUUGGAUCAGUAACACAAGACAAGGACCCACUGACUCAUACGAAAUUUGGGUAAGUAUCAUUCAUCACUGUGUGCAGAAGUAAGUGUCAGGAUUGUUAGCUGUCUUCAAUCCUGAGGUCGUUAAACUUCUUGAAAACAUUUGUUAGUGCUCUGCAUAAAAAUGGAAAGAUGUUCUACACGCUAGAAAAGUGGUUUGUUUAAUAUUAUGAUUAAGUCAUAGUGCUGUGCUUUCUUUGUGUCUACAUGAUGCGUCCACUUGCGUUCUUUUUCUUUUUAUCUUACAGGCUGGUGUCCCCUCACAUGGAC